AUGAAGAUGAUAAUAAUCAUGGUAAUAAUAGUAAUAAUGACACAAAUAUUAAUGAUGAUGACGAUAAUGAUAAUAACAACAGUAAUGAUAAUGAUAAUGAUGACGGUGAUGCUGAUGAUACCAAACAUAUUAAGUGAUAUGAGUAACAACAAAAUAUAACGGGGAAGGAAUACGAGUGAUAACAACACACAUAAUACAUAAAAAUCGUCUGCCAAAGACUUAGCGGAGAAGGGUGACGUCACGCCAUUCAGGAAAUCGUUAUUUUGGUUCUUCCGGGAGGAUGAAGGCGCGAUGGCAAGAGGGAUGGUGUCGUUCAGGCACUUUCUCUUAGUUCCCUUAUUUCUUAAUAAUACAAAAUAUCUCGGAAAUGGUGUGUACAUGAGAAAUGACCAUUGGAAUCUUGUGCGAAUAAGCCAUUUCGGCACUGAGCUCAGACAUAGAUCUUCCGGACAAUUCCAAACAAGUCCAAAUCCAGAAACUUGAACCAACCUUUCCAUGUUCGUCCUUAUAUAUCAACUUUUUGUAAACUUCGGCUCUCUUUUUCUAAAUACUUCUAGUUUCUUUAAUAUCCUAUAAAUCGAGGUCAUCUCGGAGUUUUUAUUUUCCCACCUUCUUUGGGAUGAAGAUUCCAAAACAUGGAAAGCUUUUCACUGACUUAGAACAAUAGCCCUUAGAUGUAUGGUGAGAAAACCAAGGGAAAUAGAGCUGGCAUAGAAUCUGGGACACUUUUUCGGAGCUUCGUUCUCUGGAGUCGAAACAGGACACGCGCCCGAGACCAGAGUUGUGAUGGUGUCAGGUGGUUGCAGUCUACGUGAGGGAGAGUCAUGUCGUAGGAGAAAAUGGGAAACAGAAGGCUUACUGACUGAAAAGAUAUUGCGUUUGGAUUGGCAGUGUGGAAGCUUAGGGUGUAGAGAUCGAGGACUGUGAGACCUCGAAAGACCAACCCUUUGCGUCACGAGAAGAGAUCUUUCAGCGCCAGAGGGAGCCAGGAGCAGGGAGCCAGGAACAGGGAGCCAGGAGCCAGCGCUGCAUAAACCGCUGCGAAGAAAAGCUGGCCAUGACUGGACCGUCGACGCUGUGGCUGCUCCCGGCCCUCGCCGCCUUCUUCUCCUUCUACGAAGGGGAUUCGCUCGAUCAACCCGUCGCCGAGGCGCCCGCCGUCCUUGAGGAAUACGAUUACAUCGUGGUCGGCGGCGGGUCCUCAGGCAGCGUCGUCGCCGCCAGGCUGUCGGAGGACCCUGAAGUGACAGUGCUUCUGCUGGAGGCCGGAGGGCAGGAGACCGAGUUCUCCGAGGUGCCGGGCCUCGCCGUCUACCUCCAACUCUCGCAGAUGGACUGGCAGUACAAAGCCGAGCCGUCGACCACGUCCUGUCUGGCGAUGGUGUCCAAUAGGUGUAACCUCCCGCGCGGGAAGGUGAUCGGGGGCAGCAGCAGCAUCAACUACAUGCUGUACGUGCGCGGCAACAGGCAAGACUACGACCUCUGGGAGGCGCAGGGCAACCGCGGCUGGGGCUACGACCACGUCCUGCCCUUCUUCAAGUACUCGGAGGACAACAGCAACCCGACGCUCGCGACGAACUCAGACUUCCACGGCUCGGGCGGCCCCCUGAGCGUGGGCGAGCCGCCCUGGCGCUCCCCCCUGGCGGCGGCCUUCGUGGAGGCGGGGGUCGAGCUCGGCUACCCUGCCAGGGACUUCAACGGCGCCCAACAGACGGGCUUCAUGGUGCCGCAGGGCUUCCUCAGGCGAGGCUCGCGGUGCUCGAACGCGCGGGCGUACCUCAGGCCAGCGCGGCGUCGACCGAACCUCCACACGGCGCUCCACGCCUUCGCCACGCGGAUUCUCUUCGAUUCUGCGCGGCGCGCUUACGGCGUCGUCUUCGACCGCGGAGGAGAGGAACAGCGCGGGCAGGAGGUGCGCGCAAGGAGGGAGGUGAUCUUGGCGGCCGGCGCCAUCAACACGCCGCAGCUGCUCAUGCUGUCGGGCGUGGGGCCGGCGCAGCACCUGCGGCGCCACAACAUCUCCGUGGUGGCCGACCUCGCCGUCGGACGCAACCUGCAGGACCACGUCGCCGGCACCGCGAUCUUCACGAUCGAGCAGCCGGUGUCCCUUCUGUACAGCCGGCUGGAAAACCUUCCGGCUGUGCUCAAGUACUCUGUGUUCGGCUCUGGGCCGCUCACCUCCCUGGGCGGCGUCGAGGGCGUCGCCUUCGUGUCCACCAGGUUCACGAACGCCUCGAGGGACUGGCCGGACAUCGAAUUCCAUUUCGUGUCCGGGUCGCACGCCUCGGACGGCGGCUCCCACCUGCGCCACGCGCUGGGCCUCCAGGAGGAGUACUGGACGCACUACUUCAGCCGCCUCGUCGAUCGGGACCACUUCAGCAUCCUCGCCAAGCUGAUGCGGCCUCGGAGUCGCGGCGUCGUGGAGCUGCGCUCGGACGAUCCCUACGAGUAUCCGAAGAUUACUACCAACUUCUUGUCCGAGCGAGCUGACUUAAUGGUGAUCAAAGAAGGCCUGAAGAUUGCUCGACAGGUUGGGGACACCCAGGUCUUCCAUUCGGGGCCAGGCUGUUCGAUCUUCCGCUUCCUGGAUGCGAGAGUUUCGAGUGGCUGUCCGAGGCCUACUGGGAGUGUUACAUCAGACAUUUGACCUUCACGAUCUACCACUAUUCCGGAACUGCCAAAAUGGGGCCGUACUGGGACCCACACGCUGUCGUCGACCCCAUGCUUAGGGUAUACGGAGUUCAGGGCCUCCGAGUCGUUGACGCUUCGAUCUUCCCGACCAUCCCCAGUGGCAAUACCAACGCCCCCGUCACGAUGGUCGCCGAGAAGGCCGCCCACAUGAUCAAGGAGUACUGGGCUUCCGCGAGAACCUCUGCGGGCGACGGCGCUCGUCCCUACACGACGCUUCACUCGGAGGAGCUCUGAAGCUUGCACCUACCCCC
RNAcentral lists this unclassified non-coding RNA (2942 nucleotides) under Penaeus japonicus. RNAcentral's name for it is "glucose dehydrogenase [FAD, quinone]-like, transcript variant X2". The record is from RNAcentral. Lineage: Eukaryota; Metazoa; Arthropoda; Malacostraca; Decapoda; Penaeidae.